UUCUGAGCACCAACACUGCUGGUCUCCUGAGAGCAGAAGUGGCAUUAGGAGACACACAUCUGGAAGCAGAAUACCACGUUAUGUCCUGAUACAGCUGCCCUCAAACUUCCUGCUCGAACCAACCUGAGGCGAGCAGAAAUCUUCCACAUAGCAAUCAUUGCCACUAAAUACACACCCUUGUGAAAACUGGCUUGUGAAAAAGCACAGCAUGGUGGGUACGGUCGGAUGGCAGAGCUACAACAACAGUUUGGGUGCUUGGGGCUGUUCCCACCACCCCAACAGCAACAUCAUCCUCUCCCUUCCAUGCUGCUAAUUGGAAAGGACCCUGGAGCUUGAGGCCCUGGCACAGCAAUAGGCCGAGCUGUCAAAGAGCAUAGCACAUUUCCUGGAGUUGACUCAAUCCAUUUCUGAAACAUCACCGCUCGCCAGUCUCUGUUUUGAGCCUUGAAAAAUUCCUCCUAAGAUCCAGCAGUGUCUGAAACACUGGAUUCCUUUUGAAUGAAGCUCACCUCAAAGACACACUACAGCUGAUAGCGGCUCUUGUUUUAUAUGGGACCAGAGCAGAGCUAGGCCAAAAUAUCUCCUAAUGAAAUGUAUGCAGUGUGGACGCCAUGUGCUCAAGACCAGCUGCCUGGCUACCGUGACCACCCCUCUGGAUGAUGCAGAAAUGAAACAUUUCUUCUUGUUUUUCCACAGUUUUUCAUAGAGGACUCUCCAUAUGUCUGGAGAGCAUUCAAGGAGAAGGGACCUAAUGUGAUCUGAGCAUGAAAGGCAAGAACUAGUUAGGACUUGCUGUGUUACAGGAUCCUGGUCUUUAUUCCUCACGAAUCAAUCUUGCAAAGAGAGAGAGAUGCCAACAGGAAAAGAAAUGCGCUAUUAAUGCUGCAGUCCAACCAAGAUCCAGCAAGGCAGGUAUUAAGAAAGGGAAGAAAAAAAACCCAACACCCAAGCAAUCUGACACUUCCACCUGUAAAUAAUUACUCAUCCAAACCCCAGCGAUAAGCCCAUGACACUCCGUGCCGAUUAGGACCCCGAUGGAGAAGAAAGCCCUCCUUGGUUUCCCUCUUCUUGUCAAAGGCCGCAUUGUUCCCAAAGAGUUAACGCCAAAGCAGGUCUGCAAUUACCUGGGAAUAAUGGGGUGUGAUUGGGGCACUAAAGAGCUGGAAUUGAUUUUCAGGCUUUCAGCCCUAGAAGCUGAGGCUGGGCCCCUCCCUGACUUCCUGGUAACUCAUGACCAGCAGGGUCAAUAGAGCAGAAAUCCUUCUAAAGGGCCAAUCUGUAUUUGAAUUAUUUAAACAAUGUAAUACAGCCAAGUUAAAUGGGGCUUAUCAAAUGCUACACCUCUUAAAGCACAAUUGGAGGCAGAAGGAUAUUGACUGCUGAACUCCACGCUGGCCGGGGAGGGAGGGGAGAGAGAAGGCGUGAAA
Numida meleagris (helmeted guineafowl) is the source of this 1427-nucleotide long non-coding RNA. RefSeq lists it as uncharacterized. NCBI's taxonomy places the organism in Eukaryota, Metazoa, Chordata, Aves, Galliformes, Numididae. The record is from RefSeq and is a predicted model, not a curated record. The transcript is spliced from 3 exons.